RNAcentral lists this ribosomal RNA (584 nucleotides) under uncultured bacterium. RNAcentral's name for it is "bacterial SSU rRNA". It matches the Rfam family "Bacterial small subunit ribosomal RNA", at positions 8 to 570 of the family's 1533-position model. The record is from RNAcentral.
AGAGUUUGAUCCUGGCUCAGAACGAACGUUGGCGGCGUGCUUAACACAUGCAAGUCGAACGAGAAAGUUCCUUCGGGAACGAGUAAAGUGGCGCACGGGUGAGUAACACGUAGAUAACCUGUCCAGGUGUUCGGGAUAGCCCUUCGAAAGGGGGAUUAAUACCGGAUACGUUAGUUUGUCAUAAGGCAGAUUAAGAAAGGUGGCCUCUAUUUAUAAGCUAUCGCAUUUGGAGGGGUCUGCGUACCAUUAGUUUGUUGGUGGGGUAAUGGCCUACCAAGACUUCGAUGGUUAGCGGGUCUGAGAGGAUGAUCCGUCACACUGGCACUGAAACACGGGCCAGACUCCUACGGGAGGCAGCAGUGAGGAAUAUUGCGCAAUGGGGGAAACCCUGACGCAGCGACGCCGCGUGGGUGAGGAAGGCUUUCGGGUCGUAAAGCCCUGUCAGGUGGGAAGAAAUGUGUAUAGGUUAAUACCCUUUACAUUUGACGGUACCACCAAAGGAAGCACCGGCUAACUCCGUGCCAGCAGCCGCGGUAAUACGGAGGGUGCAAACGUUGUUCGGAAUCACUGGGCGUAAAGGGCGC